GAUGAACGCUGGCGGCGUGCCUAAUACAUGCAAGUCGAGCGAACAGACGAGGAGCUUGCUCCUCUGACGUUAGCGGCGGACGGGUGAGUAACACGUGGAUAACCUACCUAUAAGACUGGGAUAACUUCGGGAAACCGGAGCUAAUACCGGAUAAUAUAUUGAACCGCAUGGUUCAAUAGUGAAAGACGGUUUUGCUGUCACUUAUAGAUGGAUCCGCGCCGCAUUAGCUAGUUGGUAAGGUAACGGCUUACCAAGGCAACGAUGCGUAGCCGACCUGAGAGGGUGAUCGGCCACACUGGAACUGAGACACGUUCCGGACUCCUACGGGAGGCAGCAGUAGGGAAUCUUCCGCAAUGGGCGAAAGCCUGACGGAGCAACGCCGCGUGAGUGAUGAAGGUCUUCGGAUCGUAAAACUCUGUUAUUAGGGAAGAACAAAUGUUUAAGUAACUAUGCACGUCUUGACGGUACCUAAUCAGAAAGCCACGGCUAACUACGUG
RNAcentral lists this ribosomal RNA (497 nucleotides) under uncultured bacterium. RNAcentral describes it as "partial 16S ribosomal RNA". It matches the Rfam family "Bacterial small subunit ribosomal RNA", at positions 28 to 507 of the family's 1533-position model. The record is from RNAcentral.